GACGAACGCUGGCGGCGUGCUUAACACAUGCGAGUCGAACGGAAAGGCCCUGCUUUUGUGGGGUGCUCGAGUGGCGAACGGGUGAGUAACACGUGAGUAACCUGCCCUUGACUUUGGGAUAACUUCAGGAAACUGGGGCUAAUACCGGAUAGGAGCUCCUGCUGCAUGGUGGGGGUUGGAAAGUUUCGGCGGUUGGGGAUGGACUCGCGGCUUAUCAGCUUGUUGGUGGGGUAGUGGCUUACCAAGGCUUUGACGGGUAGCCGGCCUGAGAGGGUGACCGGCCACAUUGGGACUGAGAUACGGCCCAGACUCCUACGGGAGGCAGCAGUGGGGAAUAGUGCACAAUGGGCGGAAGCCUGAUGCAGCAACGCCGCGUGCGGGAUGACGGCCUUCGGGUUGUAAACCGCUUUCGCCUGUGACGAAGCGUGAGUGACGGUAAUUGGUAAAGAAGCACCGGCUAACUACGUG
RNAcentral lists this ribosomal RNA (468 nucleotides) under uncultured bacterium. RNAcentral's name for it is "partial 16S ribosomal RNA". It matches the Rfam family "Bacterial small subunit ribosomal RNA", at positions 28 to 507 of the family's 1533-position model. The record is from RNAcentral.